RNAcentral lists this unclassified non-coding RNA (335 nucleotides) under soil metagenome. RNAcentral's name for it is "partial contains 5.8S ribosomal RNA, internal transcribed spacer 2, and large subunit ribosomal RNA". The stretch from base 1 to 120 matches the Rfam family "5.8S ribosomal RNA", at positions 35 to 154 of the family's 154-position model. The record is from RNAcentral.
GAUGAAGAACGCAGCGAAAUGCGAUAAGUAAUGUGAAUUGCAGAAUUCAGUGAAUCAUCGAAUCUUUGAACGCACAUUGCGCCCGCCAGUAUUCUGGCGGGCAUGCCUGUUCGAGCGUCAUUUCAACCAUCAAGCCCCCGGCUUGUGUUGGGGACCUGCGGCUGCCGCAGGCCCUGAAAAGCAGUGGCGGGCUCGCUGUCACACCGAGCGUAGUAGCAUACAUCUCGCUCUGGGCGUGCUGCGGGUUCCGGCCGUUAAAAGCCUUAUUUACCCAAGGUUGACCUCGGAUCAGGUAGGAAGACCCGCUGAACUUAAGCAUAUCAAUAAGCGGAGGA